GAUGAACGCUAGCGGCAGGCUUAAUACAUGCAAGUCGAGGGGCAUCAAGGUACACGAAAGUGUAUUGUUGGCGACCGGCGGACGGGUGAGUAAUAGGUAGGUAACCUACCUCAUACUGAGGCAUAGCUGGGAGAAAUUCCAGGUAAUUCCUCAUGAGGUUAUAUGACACAUGUGAUAUAAUCAAAGGUAUCGCAAGGUACUGGUAUGAGAUGGGCUUACUGACCAUUAGCUAGUUGGUGAGAUAAGAGCUCACCAAGGCGAAGAUGGUUAGGGGUUUUGAGAGAGAGAUCCCCACAUUGGAACUGAGAUACGGUCCAGACUCCUACGGGAGGCAGCAGUAGGGAAUAUUGGGCAAUGGGCGGAAGCCUGACCCAGCCAUGCCGCGUGAAGGAAGACGGCCUUAGUGGGUUGUAAACUUCUUUACUAUGCGACUAACUAGAUUUACGAGAUAAUUCUAUAGAAUGUAGCAUAGACAAAAAGCACCGGA
Molecule: ribosomal RNA, 487 nt
Filed under: uncultured bacterium
Lineage: Bacteria
Description: bacterial SSU rRNA
Rfam family: Bacterial small subunit ribosomal RNA
Source: RNAcentral